CUGAACUGAACAUACUGAACUUGCACUAACUUUUGACAGCAGAGUUAAAAUUAUCAUACUCUAUAUACAUGCACAAAUUUGAUCUCUGUGACCACAACAACAACAUAUUCAGUCUAUCUAGACUGAACCUUCUGCAUCAUGUGUUUGGCGAGCAUGCAGUACAACCUUCCAGAGCAUGCCACCCUGCUGCCCUUCUUCUGAUGGAUCUUCACUGCAGUUCAGGACAUGCUUGGCGAGCAUGCAGGGGAGCUUGCAGGGGAGGUGAGGCGUACUGCGCCAGCCACGACGCCUCCGAGGUCAGCCUCUUCUUGGUCCCGUCGGUGGCCUCGUCCUUGUACGCGUAGGGCUCCUCCUGCGUCUCCUGGCUCUGCAGCGACGCUGGCGUCUUGCCUCGUCGGAGGAGCACCGCCAGUAGGAGGAGGAGCACGUCAGAGGCCAGCGACACCGCCGUGUAUCCGGAGGCACGGAGGGGGGCGUCGGAGGCCAGCGAUCUGACGGCGGUCGCUAGCAGCAGCGCGCUCAGGUCCGCCCGGCCUCGGCGCACAGCAUGUCGGAGCCGGCAAAUCGAGAGCUUUGCAGAGAAGGGGAUCCAUUUCCUCUUGAUCUCCCCUCCCCUCCCCCCUCGUCGGGAUCAGGCAACGCGGACGAAGAAAGGCGGCGAUAUGAAGGGGAGAAGGCGGCCGGCGCGUGGCGAGGCGACGGAGCAGGCGGCCGGGGGUGAGGAUGUCGCCGUCGCCGUCGCAAGAUUGAGGAGGGGAGGAUGGGGGGACGCGGUGCGGGCUGUGUCGUUUGUCGGAUUAAUGCGAGGGGGGUUUUCACAAAUUGUCAUCGCGGACAAC
This 839-nucleotide ribosomal RNA is filed under the name Triticum aestivum (bread wheat). Its description in RNAcentral is "partial small subunit ribosomal RNA". Lineage: Eukaryota; Viridiplantae; Streptophyta; Magnoliopsida; Poales; Poaceae. The record is from RNAcentral.